AGCGGCGGACGGGUGAGUAACACGUAGGUAACCUGCCUAUAAGACUGGGAUAACUCCGGGAAACCGGGGCUAAUACCGGAUAACAUUUUGCACCGCAUGGUGCAAAAUUGAAAGGCGGCUUCGGCUGUCACUUAUAGAUGGACCUGCGGCGCAUUAGCUAGUUGGUGAGGUAACGGCUCACCAAGGCGACGAUGCGUAGCCGACCUGAGAGGGUGAUCGGCCACACUGGGACUGAGACACGGCCCAGACUCCUACGGGAGGCAGCAGUAGGGAAUCUUCCGCAAUGGACGAAAGUCUGACGGAGCAACGCCGCGUGAGCGAUGAAGGCCUUCGGGUCGUAAAGCUCUGUUGUUAGGGAAGAACAAGUGCUAGUUGAAUAAGCUGGCACCUUGACGGUACCUAACCAGAAAGCCACGGCUAACUACGUGCCAGCAGCCGCGGUAAUACGUAGGUGGCAAGCGUUAUCCGGAAUUAUUGGGCGUAAAGCGCGCGCAUGUGGUUUCUUAAGUCUGAUGUGAAAGCCCACGGCUCAACCGUGGAGGGUCAUUGCAAACUGGGAGACUUGAGUGCGGAAGAGGAAAGUGGAAUUCCAUGUGUAGCGGUGAGAUGCGUACACAUAUGGAGGAACACCAGUGGCGAAAGCGGACUUUCUGGUCUGUAACUGACACUGAGUCUGGCACAGCAUGCUUGAGCAGACAUCGAUGACAUACACUGGAUCAUCCACGUCCGUAUCGCAUGAGUGGGUUACUGCUAAAUCGGUUCCGCCCUUUACGCGCAAAGUGAACUCCUAUUUGCCUUCUCCCGCACGUCAAGUCGGCCGAUUGCGAUAGACCUACAGAUUGAGCGGUGCCCUUCACAUGCUGGAGCAGUAGCUCAUUGCCGCACUACGCCACAUUUCACGAGAUCGUCGUCCCUAACUACAAGGCUGCCCUCAAUGGCGAGACUUAGUAGACGCUACGCAC
This 962-nucleotide ribosomal RNA is filed under the name Bacillus sp. (in: firmicutes). RNAcentral describes it as "bacterial SSU rRNA". The stretch from base 1 to 794 matches the Rfam family "Bacterial small subunit ribosomal RNA". Lineage: Bacteria; Bacillati; Bacillota; Bacilli; Caryophanales; Bacillaceae. The record is from RNAcentral.